CGCGCGGGCGGAUCUGUAAGUCUGUCUUAAAAGUGCGGGGCUCAACCCCGUGAGGGGAUGGAAACUGCAGAUCUUGAGUAUCGGAGAGGAAAGCGGAAUUCCUAGUGUAGCGGUGAAAUGCGUAGAUAUUAGGAAGAACACCAGUGGCGAAGGCGGCUUUCUGGACGAAAACUGACGCUGAGGCGCGAAAGCCAGGGGAGCGAACG
This 206-nucleotide ribosomal RNA is filed under the name uncultured bacterium. RNAcentral describes it as "partial 16S ribosomal RNA". It matches the Rfam family "Bacterial small subunit ribosomal RNA", at positions 568 to 774 of the family's 1533-position model. The record is from RNAcentral.